RNAcentral lists this long non-coding RNA (277 nucleotides) under Bos taurus (domestic cattle). RNAcentral describes it as "long non-coding RNA NONBTAT025449". The record is from RNAcentral. Lineage: Eukaryota; Metazoa; Chordata; Mammalia; Artiodactyla; Bovidae.
CUCCCUCUCCCCAUUGAAUGGAAUCCCUUGAAGCACUUAUAAAAUUCAAGGGCUCAUGGGAUUCUGUGUAAAAAUCAGAGAUCUUGAUUAGCCAGGUUUUACAUGCUCAAUCUCUGUGGUUAUGUUUUUAGGAUUUGUUAUGUACAAAAACUAAAUUCAGCUUUUACAGACCAGCUUUGUGUUUAUAGCUGAUAUACUGUCAACAGUAGGAAAAGAAAAGUUUAAUUUUCCAGGAAUCAGAAUAGGAGUCAGAAUAUGUAUCUACAGGCAAAGUCAC